Molecule: ribosomal RNA, 216 nt
Filed under: Glomeromycotina sp.
Lineage: Eukaryota; Fungi; Glomeromycota
Description: partial small subunit ribosomal RNA
Rfam family: Eukaryotic small subunit ribosomal RNA (bases 40-216)
Source: RNAcentral
GGGUCAGUAGGUUGGUCGUGCCACCGGUACGUACUGGUCUCACUGAUUCCUCCUUCCUGAAGAACCGUAAUGCCAUUAAUUUGGUAUUGCGGGGAAACAGGACUGUUACUUUGAAAAAAUUAGAGUGUUUAAAGCAAGCUAACGCUUGAAUACAUUAGCAUGGAAUAAUGAAAUAGGACGAUCGAUCCUAUUUUGUUGGUUCCUAGGAUUGACGUA